This 613-nucleotide ribosomal RNA is filed under the name uncultured bacterium. Its description in RNAcentral is "bacterial SSU rRNA". It matches the Rfam family "Bacterial small subunit ribosomal RNA", at positions 338 to 956 of the family's 1533-position model. The record is from RNAcentral.
CCUACGGGAGGCAGCAGUGAGGAAUAUUGGACAAUGGGCGCAAGCCUGAUCCAGCCAUGCCGCGUGCAGGAAGAAGCAUCUAUGGUGUGUAAACUGCUUUUGUACAGGAAGAAACACUCCCUCGUGAGGGAGCUUGACGGUACUGUAAGAAUAAGGACCGGCUAACUCCGUGCCAGCAGCCGCGGUAAUACGGAGGGUCCGAGCGUUAUCCGGAAUCAUUGGGUUUAAAGGGUCCGUAGGCGGUUUAAUAAGUCAGUGGUGAAAUCUGGUCGCUCAACGAUCAAACGGCCAUUGAUACUGUUAGACUUGAAUUAUAAGGAAGUAACUAGAAUAUGUAGUGUAGCGGUGAAAUGCUUAGAUAUUACAUGGAAUACCAAUUGCGAAGGCAGGUUACUACUUAUGGAUUGACGCUGAUGGACGAAAGCGUGGGGAGCGAACAGGAUUAGAUACCCUGGUAGUCCACGCCGUAAACGAUGGAUACUAGCUGUUCGGAGCAAUCUGAGUGGCUAAGCGAAAGUGAUAAGUAUCCCACCUGGGGAGUACGUUCGCAAGAAUGAAACUCAAAAGAGUAGUAGAGNGNGAGAGAGACGACGACGACGACGGAGGGAGGAGG